CUGAGCUACAUCCCCAGAUCUGCCUUUAAAAAGUUACUUCUGCCUGGAGUUUGGAGUUUGGAGCGACAAGAGGCCAAAUGGGCAGCACAGUAGAGACCACUUCAAUGAUCCCAUGUGAGAUUAGGUGUUAAGGCAGGAGAUGCAGUGGGAGAAACUGAGUAGUAGAUGUUCUAGAUAUACCUGGAAGGUAGAGCCAACUGGAUUUACUGACAAACUGGAUGUAUGGUACCAGAAGAAGAGUCAAGAAUGAGUUUGGUGGGGUGUGAGUGUGGAAGCUCUCAAGUUCAAGGCUAGCCAGGGAUCUAUGGCAAGGUUUUAUUUCAAAGAAACCAAACAAUGACAACAACAAACCAAGAAUGAGUCUGGCUGUGGUUGGCCUGAGCAACUGUGAGAAGGGAGACCCCACUUCUUGAAAUGGAGAAGAAUAUGGGAGGAACAUGUUGGGUGGUGCAGGCGACUAGCAGAACUUGGUUUGAGUCAUGCUCCUUGGGAGGUACCUGCUGAACAACCACAUAGAGCUGUUAAGGAAGCCACUGGAUACCCACUUGUCUGAUAUCCAGGAUGGACACCCGGUAUGGAGAUGCCACUGGAACUUACUUCACUUUGAAGAUGAGUGAGUUCAAAGGAGAGAAGAGGUUUGAGGCGGCUGCCUAGGAGCACUCACUAAUGAGAGGUCACAGACAGAAGAAAAGCUACUAGGAGGAUCUUCCAACUCAGACAAAGGCCAUCAAUAAGAGAAGCCAGACCCGGUGUGUGUGAAACCCAGGAGAAGGAAGCAAAUGCAAGGUAUUUACCUCUUUUCCAUGAGGCCAAUGCAGAAUAGGUCUUCUUGGAAAGGGAAAGUCAGAAUUGUUGGAUCUCUUUAGAUGGGCACCCAGUCUUGGGCUUUGGCUUGAGGUAGGGCUUAAGUCCCAAUUUGUGGAAUGUCUCUGAACUCCACAAGAAAAAGCUGGAGCUCGGAAGCAGGUAAUUUCAGUCAAGUACACUAUGUUUACUUAGAGUUUGGGUGCAGCAACCAGUUAAUUACUCAAGUAAAUCAUGUCACCAUCCCCUGCAGCCCCAGUGUAAUAACACCGUGCUGACCACACUUUUAAGAGUGAUAUAAGCCUCGAAGUGCGAGCUAAGAGGUUUUAUAGGCCACUCCUUGAAUGGGCCUCUUUCUCCAGGAGCUCACAAAAGUCAUGUGUGUCAAUGCCUGCUUAGCUGUGGGGAAGGAGGGUGGCUCUUGGGGGCCCCCUUCUAGAUGAGGCCCAUAUGACUUGGGAUUGGUCCAAAGGCUGACUUGUAGCUCAGCUGGGAGAAGUCGGCCUUUUCUGUGGGUUUUUUUUCCCCUCAUAUCAUUGGGACAUGUUGGACUCACCAUCCCUAUGACACUCAGCUUCCCAAUUCAAAUCUAUCAGUUCAACAAACAUCUCUUGGACCUGGUUCUGAGCUGAGUGCUUAGAACUUAGGUGUGCCCAGGAAUAGUAUUCAUGUUCCAGGCAAAUGCAAGAGAUGGGCGCAAUGAACUAACCUUAUGGUUUUACUAAAACAUAAGGUGGUACAAACACUGAGGGAGAGAAAAUGAAUUCAGAAACUUGCAUUGGAUCGACAAGAAUGAGACUACUGCAGCUAACAAGACUUGAGAGGGGAGAGGGAGUUGCAGGCUGUGGAGGCCGCUUGAACGAAGGCCUAGGGACUGGGUGUUUUCUUAGAUAUUCACAGAAGCCCAGCUCCCUUGACUUAGACAACCAGAAUCUAGGGCUCCCAGAUUGCUUCAGUAGCAAAUUAAUGAAAUCCUGGAAUGUAAGGCACUUUUUGUGCCUGGGCAGAUUUUUCCUAAGGCAGGAGAUUGCUCUACCCACAAACAAGUCAUACCUCCCAAGAUGAGUGGACAUUUGGGCUAGGAUUCCAGUCGGUAUAGGCAUGUGCUCAGCAUCUUCGUCCCCACCUAUCGAUCUCCAGAUACCGGCCAGAAGUGUGCUGUGAUCAGCGAUAUCCCACUAUGUUCCAAGGACUCUUCCAGCCACAAAGAAAGCUCACUUCCCCACCUGGCCUGGCAGAAAAAGUUCCAGGUUUGUUAGUGUGGUUGUGAUUGAUAAUCAGUUCAGGUCACAGGUCUAACCCUACCUGUCACUUUUUGUGGUUAAGUUUCUUAUAAAGUGUCUGGCAUUGGGUUAAGAACUUUACAAGCAUGAUGGCUGCUAAAUGUCAAAACAAUCAUGAUAUGGGCUGUUAUUCUCAUCUGAGGAUAUUGUUCUAUAGAGAGAUGAGGUCUUUGUCCACAAUCACCCAGCUUAUAAAUAGCAGUGCUAGGCUAUGUACAAGAAAGUCUGGUUCCCGAACAUGCAAUUAGUCAAGAUGAGGAUAAAAAAUAUACUAUUAUUUCCCAAGAAGAUGUGCAACAAACUCAAUA
This is a long non-coding RNA of Perognathus longimembris pacificus (Pacific pocket mouse), 2395 nucleotides long. RefSeq lists it as uncharacterized. Lineage: Eukaryota; Metazoa; Chordata; Mammalia; Rodentia; Heteromyidae. The transcript has 2 exons. The record is from RefSeq and is a predicted model, not a curated record.